AUUGAACGCUGGCGGAAUGCUUUACACAUGCAAGUCGAACGGCAGCACGGGGCAACCUGGUGGCGAGUGGCGAACGGGUGAGUAAUACAUCGGAACGUGCCCAAUCGUGGGGGAUAACGUAGCGAAAGUUACGCUAAUACCGCAUACGAUCUACGGAUGAAAGCGGGGGAUCGCAAGACCUCGCGCGAAUGGAGCGGCCGAUGUCAGAUUAGGUAGUUGGUGGGGUACAGGCUCACCAAGCCGACGAUCUGUAGCUGGUCUGAGAGGACGACCAGCCACACUGGGACGGAGACACGGCCCAGACUCCUACGGGAGGCAGCAGUGGGGAAUUUUGGACAAUGGGCGCAAGCCUGAUCCAGCCAUUCCGCGUGCAGGAUGAAGGCCUUCGGGUUGUAAACUGCUUUUGUACGGAACGAAACGGUGAGCUCUAAUACAGUUUGCUAAUGACGGUACCGUAAGAAUAAGCACCGGCUAACUACGUGCCAGCCGCCGCAGUAA
Molecule: ribosomal RNA, 498 nt
Filed under: uncultured bacterium
Lineage: Bacteria
Description: partial 16S ribosomal RNA
Rfam family: Bacterial small subunit ribosomal RNA
Source: RNAcentral